This 459-nucleotide ribosomal RNA is filed under the name uncultured bacterium. RNAcentral describes it as "partial 16S ribosomal RNA". It matches the Rfam family "Bacterial small subunit ribosomal RNA", at positions 338 to 795 of the family's 1533-position model. The record is from RNAcentral.
CCUACGUGAGGCAGCAGUGAGGAAUAUUUGUCAAUGGGCGCAAGCCUGAACCAGCCAAGUCGCGUGCGGGAUGAAGGCCCUACGGGUCGUAAACCUCUUUUGCACGGGGAUAACACCCUCCACUUGUGGAGGUCUGCAGGUACCGUGCGAAUAAGGGCCGGCUAACUCCGUGCCAGCAGCCGCGGUAAUACGGAAGGCGCGAGCGUUAUCCGGAGUCAUUGGGUUUAAGGGGAGCGUAGGCGGUAGAUUAAGUCAGCUGUAAAAUCGCGGGGCUCAACCCCGCCCCGCAGUUGAAACUGGUGGCCUUGAGUGAGCAAGAGGCAGGCGGAAUUCGUGGUGUAGCGGUGAAAUGCAUAGAUAUCACGAGGAACCCCGAUUGCGAAGGCAGCAUGUCGGGGUGCGACUGACGCUGAGGCACGAAGGUGCGGGUAUCGAACAGGAUUAGAUACCCUUGUAGUC